Molecule: transfer RNA, 77 nt
Filed under: Flammeovirgaceae bacterium
Lineage: Bacteria; Pseudomonadati; Bacteroidota; Cytophagia; Cytophagales; Flammeovirgaceae
Description: tRNA-Met
Rfam family: tRNA
About the family: Transfer RNA (tRNA) molecules are approximately 80 nucleotides in length. Their secondary structure includes four short double-helical elements and three loops (D, anti-codon, and T loops).
Source: RNAcentral
GGGCCCAUAGCUCAGUUGGUUAGAGCGCCCGGCUCAUAACCGGUAGGUCCCAGGUUCAAGNCCUGGUGGGCCCACAA